This 1543-nucleotide long non-coding RNA is filed under the name Vulpes vulpes (red fox). Its description in RNAcentral is "lncRNA (ENSVVUG00000003799.1)". The record is from RNAcentral. Lineage: Eukaryota; Metazoa; Chordata; Mammalia; Carnivora; Canidae.
CGACUGUGCCCACCUGCCGCCUGGCCCCAGGGUGGCCCUGGCACCCGGUCGUCACCCUGCGCAGGCCGACAGACCCGGUCCCCGCCAGGAAGAGCCCCAGGACCGCUCCCCAGCCUGGCGGGCAUUUCCUCCAGCUUGUUUAUGGGCCUGCAGGGCGGCAAAGAUGGGUCGGAAAUGUCUGACGGGCCCAGGGCGGGCGCGGCCGUGACGGAUGCCCCCCCCACCCCCGCCGACGCUCCGGUGCUGCCCCGGGCCAGGAAGGCCCAGGAAGGCCCAGGAAGGCCCAGGACGGGACUGCUCAGGCGGGCCCUUCCCAGCUGCUCUGCAGACGCCGAGGGACGGACAGGCCGGGAGCAGCCGCCCGGUGUGUCCAGGGGAAGCGGGACAGGCCUCCUGGGCGCUGCUGCCACGACCGGGACGCGGGGGGUCCACAGACACGUAAGAACCGCCUGGAGACACGCCGCCCCGCCGCCUCCUGCUCCUCUCACUCGGCCGCAGCUACGGUCACAGCUGUGCUCUGAGCGGCAGCGGCAGGCGACCUGGGUCGGCAGGCGGACGCCCCCGGGCUCACACUCGCGGGGCCCCGGCAGGCGGCUCACACGCACACGUGCCCGGCCACCCGCCCUCCGCACACUCGGCUCAGGCGGUGCCAGGACGUCCGGGAGCCUCACAGGGAGGCUGCUUACAGGACGGGGGCCACUCGUGCAAACUGCAGGGGGGCCCAGGACCGCAGACAGGGGACACCCAGUGAUGCGCAAGCAGGUCUUCAGCAAGGGCCGUGCCCCAGACAUGAGACCCAGGGGUCCCGGGAGGCCCCGCGUGACACACGAGGGACAUGGAUCCUGGGGUUGCUCCUGGCGCCCAAUGGCUGCUUUCCUGGGAGCCACCUGCCCGCCAGCCCCAGACGCCGGCUGCGCUGACAACGAUGUGCUCAGGACGUGCUUUUGCAGAGAAGGGACGAGGAGCAAACAGAAGCUGCAGCCCCCACGAGCUCGGCUACACCCGAGUUGGCGGCGGCCGACGUCCAGGUCCUCCGAGGCCCGGCACAGCGCCCACCCGCGGAGCGUGCAGCCACCCGCACCCGAGGGCACACGGAGGUCGCCCAGGAGCCCCCCGCCAGCACACCAGGGCCCUGGAGCACCGCCCGUUCCCGUUUUCCCAACUACCCAACGCUUAUUUCCCUGGCUGCUGGGUUUAUUCACGCGAUCUCUCUCCACCACAUAUGAGCACGUAGUGCAUGAUGCAUCCUAAAUGCCCCCAAAAAGCAAAGGAGCCCUGAAUCUGGGCCCAGGUGGGGACACACACUACUCCAUGUGCGUGCAAAUAUGCGCUGGAACGCGACGGCCCGCAAAGCAGAGACGGUGUCUCUUCACCCAACCAGGGGGCUCCGGUCAGGGCCUCUCCGGGGCAGGGACGCGUCCUCACUGGGGGCUUGGGGGAACGGCCCCAAAGGCACAGGGGCAGGUGGACCACAGCCAGGAACCGAGGGGCGGGAGGCAUACGGUGCGUCUGACCCCGCAUGGCCCACACGGCUCGAGGCCGC